Molecule: ribosomal RNA, 256 nt
Filed under: uncultured bacterium
Lineage: Bacteria
Description: partial 16S ribosomal RNA
Rfam family: Bacterial small subunit ribosomal RNA
Source: RNAcentral
GACAGAGGCCCCGAGGCGUUAGGCGGAAUCACUGGGCUUAAAGCGUGUGUAGGCGGGAGCGUAAGUACCUUGUGAAAUCCCGACGGCUCAACCGUGGAACGGCUGGGUAUACUGCGCUUCGUUGGGCCAACUAGGGGCAGCCGGAACAAGCGGUGGAGCGGUGAAAUGCGUUGAUAUCGGCUGGAACUCCGGUGGCGAAGGCGAGGUGCCUGGACCCUUUCUGACGCUGAUGCGCGAAGCCAGGGGAGCAAACGGG